Molecule: long non-coding RNA, 2483 nt
Organism: Panicum virgatum (switchgrass)
Lineage: Eukaryota; Viridiplantae; Streptophyta; Magnoliopsida; Poales; Poaceae
Exons: 2
Source: RefSeq, a predicted model, not a curated record
CCCACCUUAUCUCUUCUCAUCCCUCUCCUCCGUUCUCCCUCCCCCGGCUGCUCUCUCCUCUUUACCGUCACUCAAAUUUCUACUGCUGCUCGAGCUCAAUUCUGCCGACGGCAACGGAGGGCGCAGCGGUGAGAGAGGCGUCGUCGAGCGCUGCGCAGGCUGAGAGGUCGAGCGCAGUGAGGGCCAGGAAGGUAAGCAGGACCUGGGCAGCGGCUUGCGGCGGAGCGGAUGCGCCGCGCUGUGCGACUCGGCCUCGGCACGCCCGAAGGCGCGGCUAGCAAGGCGGCCCGACUUGCAGUCCCGCGGGUCGCGCGUGCUCGGCAGCGCGUGCGCGAGCAGGUCCAGCGACAUCGCGUCCAUGCCGGCGUCGCCGCCGGUGGAGCUACCGGAGGAGUCGUGGCAGAGAACCCCCGCACCAGCGUACCCAACCCUAGCACAAUUUCCCAUCGCAUCUCUCCUCUUUCUCUCUCCCCGCCGCCGCCGCACCAUGGUGCUCGCUGCGCUCGCCUCCCUACUCGCCGCCGUCAUUGGUGCGUGGGCCGUGGGGUGCCCCACGAGCUCGCCGCAGUUGCUGGAGCGCUCCUCCAUCCACCUACUGCGUGGCGCUCCCUGAGGAGGCUUGGGACGCGGCUCCGGCGCCCCCGCCGAGGUCAAGCAUGGUGGCGCCCCAGGGGGGGUGCAGCUUUAGAUGGAUCCAUGGUGUGGACGUGCUAUUGAUUCGUGAGGAUCUCGGCGUCCACGAGAUCUCGACAUAGUGGCACCCUCGGCUCCGGCCUUCUUUGCCAUGGCCAUGAAGGAUCAGACAUCGAUGGGGGUGGGGAUCUGGUGUUCGGCAAAAUCAUAUCUCAGCGAGAAAUAUGGCCUUGGCCUGGCUUUGCCCCCUCGAUCUGUGAUGAUUAGUGGUAUUUGCAUUGCUGCAUUCUGGAUAAGGAUCUGCAUUGCUGCAUUCUUGGAUGUAUGGUGGCAAGGAGAUCCUGUAUUUCUCUCAUGUGCCCUCAACACACCAUCCCAUCUUCUCUCAUCCCCUCCACUUCCUGCGAUCCCUCCAUAGCUUAUGUUCUAUUUCCUGUACAGGUGUGUUACUGACUGUUAUUCUUUCAAUUAAUUUUUUAGGAUGUCAUGCAUAUUUUUUUUAUCUUAGGUCAAUGCAUUUUUUUUAAUGUAGGCACUCUUCCAUUGCUCUGUUUAUUCAAAUAAACUGCUUAAUAGAUUAGCUGUGGAAUUUUUAUUCCCUCAUAUACGAUAUCCAGUGACAUGGUUGGACAGUGCUAUUGGAAUGUAGCUAAAUAAUGUUUGCUGUCCUCACCGUGGAAGCUGGUAAUACAUCAGUUGUUCAUAGUUUCUAUCUUGACUCGUGCUAAUGCAUAACUGUUCCAUUUUUUAUUUUAAGAAUCCUAUGUUUACCAAUGCCCAUGUGGUUCAUAUAUAUAUGUUAUUCUGCUUAAUAUUUUCACUCAAGUAGAAUUGCAAUGUAGGGUACAGUUUUGUAGUUAAGGCAAAGUGAAACCAUUUGACUAAUUUGAAGCAAUUUUUUUCAAUGAAAAAUAUUUAAGCAGAAUUCUGGUAGCUGUUAACCACUUGGCCAAUGUUAAUUGUUUAACUGCCACCAUGAGGUAAUACUAAUAAUAAUCUCCUUGCUUAAUCUGAUGUGCAUAGUCCUGUAAACACCUUAGUAAGAUAUCAAGGACAAAACAGCACCCACAUGAUAUAUGUGAAGAAUUAUCCUGUGGCUGCACCCUCAUGUUUGGGCUAUUUGAUCAGCGUGGUUGCUUCUUGCUGGUAACAAGCUACAGGAAACUUGAAUUUUUUGCUUGCAGCACAGCAAGCAGGUUGAGUUAGAUGAACCAUACAAAUUAUCGAGUGGAGAUAGGAUGGUCCCAAUUUUAGACAAAUACCUUUUAUGAGGUGAUGUGCUAACUAGAUAUUUGAUUGAACUUGAGAUGUACAGUGCUUUUGCCCAUGUCGUUUGUUCUUCAUCCAAAUCACGUCUCUCUGCCUAAUGGGCACUGGUUGUGAUUAUUUAUCAUUGGUAUUGUCUUCCUAAUUUUCUCUUCCAGUCUGGUUUCUAUCGGUGCUUCAGGUCUGAUAUUGUCAGUUAGUAUCAGUUACUCACCUGUGUUUAAGCAUUGGUGUUACUACCACAGUGCGUGCCUCAUUUGUUCAUUUAUUUCCACCUCUGCUAAAUAAAAUCUUGCUUGUGCUCUUUUCUUAGAGAUCCUUAAUGUAUCAUUCUAAUGGUUGCAGCUCGAAGACUUGGAUGCUAAGGAGUGUAUUUCCUGAUCCUAAGGACAAGGAAUCAAAGGAUUCUUUUCAUUACUGGUAGAACUUUAGAUGCUUUGUCAAUUCAGGUGUUCUCUGAAAUGUGCUUCCGAAAGAUAUUUUCCAUUGUUAGUAUUGAUGGAUGCUCAAAUGGAGAUCACUGUAAUAGCCAACUUCUCUAUCCAUAUUUAGUAAGUAAUAUUUUUGAGAAAAUACUUGCCACU